CUAAUUUUGUCUAUAAGCGGCUUCCCCACUUGCACCCUUAUAUUAGUGUGUAGUACUGUUGAUAGCUCGAGCGACAUAAUUUUGGGCUGCUUGGGCUACAACUCUUUGGGCCUUAGAGCAGCAUAUGUUUGCUUGGACUAGGCUGCGUGUGAGCCGAAGGCCCAGCUCGAAAGCUUGAUGGGCUGUGGUGGCUUCAGGGCAGCGGCGGCGCAGACGAUCCCGUGAGUCCAGCCACGGGGGGCGGAGCGAAGCCACCGGCGGCGAGGUGGUGAAGGGGGCUGGAGGCGGCGUCCGUUCGAGCGGCGGCGGCCGGAUCGAUGGAUCGAGUCGAGCACCAUGCGCCCCUGUGUCCCGCGGCUCGGGUCGGCUCGGUACAGGCGGAAGUGCAGCGGCGGCGCCUCUCCUGGUGUUGUGCCAGGAAGGCCGCCACCCACCAUCCACCAAGCGUGCCAAGCCAUGGUCUCAACAAUACUUCUUUCUUCAAAGGGAUGAUGCUUGCAAAUCGUGUCGAUGCAAAAAGGCUACAGGUCAAGAAACAAAGAGAUGCAAAUUGUGCCACUAAAAAUCUAUUUGGCGGGCAAACGGGUAAAGCAAGCGACAUAUUGGUGGAGCAUGCCAAUCGCAAGGAAAAACUCUCAUGGACAUGC
Non-coding RNA from Oryza sativa Japonica Group (Japanese rice), 647 nucleotides. Lineage: Eukaryota; Viridiplantae; Streptophyta; Magnoliopsida; Poales; Poaceae. The record is from RefSeq and is a predicted model, not a curated record.